GUGAACGCUGGCGGUAGGCCUAACACAUGCAAGUCGAACGGCAGCACAGUAAGAGCUUGCUCUUACGGGUGGCGAGUGGCGGACGGGUGAGGAAUACAUCGGAAUCUACUUUUUCGUGGGGGAUAACGUAGGGAAACUUACGCUAAUACCGCAUACGACCUACGGGUGAAAGCAGGGGAUCUUCGGACCUUGCGCGAUUGAAUGAGCCGAUGUCGGAUUAGCUAGUUGGCGGGGUAAAGGCCCACCAAGGCGACGAUCCGUAGCUGGUCUGAGAGGAUGAUCAGCCACACUGGAACUGAGACACGGUCCAGACUCCUACGGGAGGCAGCAGUGGGGAAUAUUGGACAAUGGGCGCAAGCCUGAUCCAGCCAUACCGCGUGGGUGAAGAAGGCCUUCGGGUUGUAAAGCCCUUUUGUUGGGAAAGAAAAGCAGCAGGUUAAUACCCCGCUGUUCUGACGGUACUCAAAGAAUAAGCACCGGCUAACUUCGUG
RNAcentral lists this ribosomal RNA (491 nucleotides) under uncultured bacterium. RNAcentral describes it as "partial 16S ribosomal RNA". It matches the Rfam family "Bacterial small subunit ribosomal RNA", at positions 29 to 507 of the family's 1533-position model. The record is from RNAcentral.